AUGGCCCAUGCUGUUGUUCCGUUGAAUUUUAAUGCGUUCCUUGAGAAAGCAAAGUUGAAAGAUGAUGGUAGCAAUUACACGGACUGGGUCCGUAACUUGAGGAUUAUACUCAUUGCUGCACAGAAGAAUUACGUCCUGGAAGCACCGCUGGGUGCCAGGCCUGCUGCUGGAGCAACACCAGAUGUUAUGAACGUCUGGCAGAGCAAAGCUGAUGACUACUCGAUAGUUCAGUGUGCCAUGCUUUACGGCUUAGAAUCGGGACUUCAACGAUGUUUUGAACGUCAUGGAGCAUAUGAGAUGUUCCAGGAGUUGAAGUUAAUAUUUCAAGCAAAUGCCCGGAUUGAGAGAUAUGAAGUCUCCAAUAAGUUCUAUAGCUGCAAGAUGGAGGAGAACAGUUCUGUCAGUGAGCAUAUACUCAAAAUGUCUGGGUAUAAUAAUCACUUGAUUCAGAUGGGAGUUAAUCUUCCAGAUGAUUGCGUCAUUGACAGAAUUCUCCAAUCACUGCCACCAAGCUACAAGAGCUUCGUGAUGAACUAUAAUAUGCAAGGGAUGAAUAAGACAAUUCCCGAGCUCUUCGCAAUGCUGAAAGCUGCGGAGGUAGAAAUCAAGAAGGAGCAUCAAGUGUUGAUGGUCAACAAGACCACUAGUUUCAAGAAAAAGGGCAAAGGGAAGAAGAAGGGGAACUUCAAACGGCAAGCAAGUUGCUGCUCAGGAUAA
Molecule: ribosomal RNA, 717 nt
Filed under: Triticum aestivum (bread wheat)
Lineage: Eukaryota; Viridiplantae; Streptophyta; Magnoliopsida; Poales; Poaceae
Description: partial small subunit ribosomal RNA
Source: RNAcentral